AUCAGAUUAAAGGAGGGAGGUGUUGCAGGUGCCAGACUGUUUCCAGGAAGCCACUCCAAGGCAUCAGUUCCACUGCCUGUGCAGCAAUGGCCAACAGCUGCUGCCUCUGUGUUUGUUAUUUCUGUUGUUUGCUGAAGUUGUCCUCGAUGUGGCUGUGUAGAUUCCUUCACACAAAGACGUGAUGUCACAAAUUCUUGUGCAAGGAGAAGUUCUGCAUGGGUUAAGGAGCCAGAAGACAGUGACAAAUGAAUAAAAUGACAUAACAAAAGCUCAACAUUUAAAUCCUAUGAAUACUUGCUGUGCACACUGAAGGAUUAAUUGAAAAAUACUUGGCAAUAAGCACAUUUCUGAAUACGAAAUGUAUUCACCAGUACUUUGCAAAUAAAAAAUGAGGCUAAGGUUAUGAA
Corvus hawaiiensis (hawaiian crow) is the source of this 407-nucleotide long non-coding RNA. RefSeq lists it as uncharacterized. The record is from RefSeq and is a predicted model, not a curated record. NCBI's taxonomy places the organism in Eukaryota, Metazoa, Chordata, Aves, Passeriformes, Corvidae. The transcript is spliced from 3 exons.